Molecule: ribosomal RNA, 253 nt
Filed under: uncultured bacterium
Lineage: Bacteria
Description: partial 16S ribosomal RNA
Rfam family: Bacterial small subunit ribosomal RNA
Source: RNAcentral
UACGUAGGUGGCAAGCGUUGUCCGGAUUUAUUGGGUUUAAAGGGUGCGUAGGCGGCUUUGUAAGUCAGUGGUGAAAUAUGGCAGCUCAACUGUCAGGGUGCCAUUGAUACUGCGGAGCUUGAGUACAGAUGAGGUAGGCGGAAUUGACGGUGUAGCGGUGAAAUGCUUAGAUAUCGGCAAGAACACCGAUAGCGAAGGCAGCUUACUGGGAUGUAACUGACGCUGAGGCACGAAAGUGUGGGGAUCAAACAGG